RNAcentral lists this long non-coding RNA (3948 nucleotides) under Capsicum annuum. RNAcentral's name for it is "long non-coding RNA (CANN_LNC022462)". Lineage: Eukaryota; Viridiplantae; Streptophyta; Magnoliopsida; Solanales; Solanaceae. The record is from RNAcentral.
AACAACAAACAAAGCCAGCAACCAUGAUUAUACACAACAUAGCUAUACGGCUAAAAUGCUACAGCAGCAUCGCUUAGAAGAAUAAAGAAAAAGAAGAACGCAUUUUGAAACCAAAAGAGAUGAAGGGUUACCUGCUUCGGGGCAGCAAAACAGGACUCCCAAGCUAAUAUUAGACUCCAACACCACCGAAAAUCGGACCCUCUAGAAUGAUGAGUAAUUGACAACUCGAAAUAAACUUAUUGGAAAAUCAAAGUUUUACUGCGUUUUCUUCUUCCCCUCCCAGACCCUAAAGAAACAUGUUUCCAACCUAGAUUUAAACAGUAACCCCUUUCCCAAAGAAAGAUCUCCCCAAGCUUCUAACUCCAGAAACUUUUAUUCAAAUUUUCGAACCGUCGCCUCUUCGAGAAAAGAACCCCCAGAAAACCUCUCCAAAUCCCUUACUUUGAAUCAAAAUCGACCCAAACCCUAAAUUUCUCCACUCUUAGAACCUUAGAGCUCCCAGAAAAAUCCUCCUCUUCAGACCCUAAAGAGAGCUAUUUAUAGAAGGGGGGGUUGAGGGUUCGUUUUGAAUCCUCACAAAUCGCACCCCUAUUGUUCUUCUUGAACGGAUUUUCAACAGAUGGCCAACAACCAUUGGGGCAAAAUGAACGAAUGAAAAUUUGCCGAACAGGUAUGAAUCCGAAAAUCACGGAAUUCGGACGUUGGGGGUAACACCUCACUCUCUUUCUAGAAGAUUUCGUACCAAAAUCAUGUGGGAAAGCACGCGACUGUGAAGAGGAAGCAGAAAACGGGUUGAGAUAAGGGGAAUCGGGGGGGAAAUAGGUUGGGGUUUUGCAUGGUUGUUUUCGCAUUGCUGUUGGUGUAGCUUGUACGCGGUUUUUGUCGUGGCUGUUGUUUGUUUUUGGUGAGCUAUAAGCAGCUUUUGCUUAUUGAAGAAGAAAGGAUUAAAUGGUGUGGGCCGGGUAGGUUUUGUAGAUGUUUGUGCUGUUGAAAUUCGGGGCUAAUUUGGCAAAGUCAAAAGGAAAUUGGGCUUGGGCUUGUUAAUUUGAAGAGUGGCUUGGCAAUUUAAAAACUGAAAUUGAGGUUAUUAUAACACACCAAUUUGGCCUGAAAAUGCCCCGUUUAUGCCGUUUUACCCAUUUGACUACCCAAAAUAUCCUUGAAUAAAUAAAAAAAACCACACUGCGACGAUCCCCAACCUCUCUGGCAUACCCCGGUUGAUUUUUGGCCCACGUCACCCCCAAACCCUAGGCUACCCCCGAAGUCGUAGGCUUUAGCUUGAAUACACCCGUUUGCAUCGUUUGACCACCCAAAUGGCCUCGAAUAAAUAAACGAACCCUGGCAUCCUCAGUCAAUUCUUCACCCACGACACCUAUUUUGCGGAGAAAUUUUGACUUUUUGAGAAGAGUUACCACUUAAUUUUAAAAAAAAAUUAAGAAACCUGUAAAGAGUUACUUCAAACGAUCUAAAACCAAAAAAUCAUUUAAGUUAAGAGAUUCUGAAUAAGCGGUUCUUAUUAACGUUUUAGGAAGGUGUUAGGCACCUAAAAUGUCUUCGAUUAACUUCUGAAAUUUGAUUCAUUGAAAAAUGGUUGGUUUGCAAAAAAUUAAGUUUUAGCAAAUUCAUUAGGGGAUUUAACUAGGUUCGUAAAAGGCAUGCAAAACAAAUAAUCAAAAAGAAAGGGGAAGAGAGGAGAAGUAAUGAUUUAGGAUUUGAAGCCCAAACUAUUAAGCCUGUCCUAAUCUAGUUGGGUUUUCAACCUAUUUUUCCUCUCACCUGUCCUAUUUCUAUGUUUUCUGGCCCUUUGGCUCGAGUUUUCACUUUACCUGUAUUAAAUACAACUUUGGCUUCGAGGCCCAAAUGAAUGAAAAAUGAAUAAACAAAAUAAAAUAAAUAAUAAAUAAUAAAAAAACAACAACACUAAUUAAACAAAAUGAAAUAAUAAAUGAGACUUUUGUCACUUAGCCGCUUCAAAUACGGGACUUUAACCCGUUCCUUUUCUUUCGACUCUUUGUAUUUGCGCGCUAUUUAUCCGGCUUUGGGCUCUUUUUCUGGAUUGACCCAACAAGAUGGGCCUCACUGGCCCAUGAUGAAUGUGCAAGAGGGAGAGAGUUCAUGUAGGACUCAGUCGAAAGUAGGAGAGAUUAAUGUGCAGGCCCGAAGCGCAGUACACCAUACAGAUAUCCAACACAACAAAUCAAUAACAAAAGACAUGGAAUUAUUGUAAUUUUAAACAACAUAGCAAAUAGUAUGCAAAAGUAUAGAAAGUAAAAGAAACGCAAUUAUGGCUAGCACCAAUAUAUAAAUGAAACAUUUAAGACUACAUUUGUAAGAAUACUCAUAAACAGGAAUAAGCAAAUAAGGAGACGUACAAUAGAAUUGGGAAUUUAAAAUAAAUCUCUUAAGCGACCUAUUCAUAACACUAGUUGGGGAAAGAGCCAUUCUUUUCAGAGAGAUAAACCAGAGCCCCUCCCUGUACAAUUUCUUCAAAAAGGAUACAACUCCUAAACAUACCAUACCAAAAAUCGGAUAGCUUGGAACAGCGAACAACGAAAUACAAUAAUGACUUACUUAAGAAAGAGUGAAUGAAACUUGACAUAAGAGUUGUUCAAACAAGCCAAGACUCAAUAAGUUUGGAAGUUGAAGAAUAAGCAUAUUUGCACUACAGUGAGCAAGUAAGUAGCAGACCCCUGAGCAGCUAAGAAGGUCUUAAUAAUUAUCAAUCGAAUCGAAACAUGAAACUUUAAUCACAAAAGUCAGGUAAAAAAAAAUAAUUCCAACAGCCUGAAACUUUAAACACGAAACCAACUUCAGUAGGAUACUAGCGAUCCGAAACAGAUCGAAGAACCUAAGACCUUAGCUAACAAACCCGCGUUAACAAGAUACCAGUUAUUCCAAACAACAAUCAGAAGCACGAACUUCACAAAAAUGUAUGGUCUUUAAGACCUCAACAACCAACAACGCCAGCAACCACGAUUAUACACAACAUAGCUAUACGGCUAAAAUGCUACAGCAGCAUCGCUUAGAAGAAUAAAGAAAAAGAAGAACGCAUUUUGAAACCAAAAGAGAUGAAGGGUUACCUGCUUCGGGGCAGCAAAACAGGACUCCCAAGCUAAUAUUAGACUCCAACACCACCGAAAAUCGGACCCUCUAGAAUGAUGAGUAAUUGACAACUCGAAAUAAACUUAUUGGAAAAUCAAAGUUUUACUGCGUUUUCUUCUUCCCCUCCCAGACCCUAAAGAAACAUGUUUCCAACCUAGAUUUAAACAGUAACCCCUUUCCCAAAGAAAGAUCUCCCCAAGCUUCUAACUCCAGAAACUUUUAUUCAAAUUUUCGAACCGUCGCCUCUUCGAGAAAAGAACCCCCAGAAAACCUCUCCAAAUCCCUUACUUUGAAUCAAAAUCGACCCAAACCCUAAAUUUCUCCACUCUUAGAACCUUAGAGCUCCCAGAAAAAUCCUCCUCUUCAGACCCUAAAGAGAGCUAUUUAUAGAAGGGGGGGUUGAGGGUUCGUUUUGAAUCCUCACAAAUCGCACCCCUAUUGUUCUUCUUGAACGGAUUUUCAACAGAUGGCCAACAACCAUUGGGGCAAAAUGAACGAAUGAAAAUUUGCCGAACAGGUAUGAAUCCGAAAAUCACGGAAUUCGGACGUUGGGGGUAACACCUCACUCUCUUUCUAGAAGAUUUCGUACCAAAAUCAUGUGGGAAAGCACGCGACUGUGAAGAGGAAGCAGAAAACGGGUUGAGAUAAGGGGAAUCGGGGGGGAAAUAGGUUGGGGUUUUGCAUGGUUGUUUUCGCAUUGCUGUUGGUGUAGCUUGUACGCGGUUUUUGUCGUGGCUGUUGUUUGUUUUUGGUGAGCUAUAAGCAGCUUUUGCUUAUUGAAGAAGAAAGGAUUAAAUGGUGUGGGCCGGGUAGGUUUUGUAGAUGUUUGUGCUGUUGAAAUUCGGG